GAGUUUGAUCGUGGCUCAGGAUGAACGCUGGCGGCGUGCCUAAUACAUGCAAGUCGAGCGAACAGACGGGGAGCUUUGCUCCCCUGACGUUAGCGGCGGACGGGUGAGUAACGACGUGGGUAACCUACCUAUAAGACUGGGAAUAACUCCGGGAAACCGGGGCUAAUGCCGGAUAACAUGUUGGACCGCAUGGUCCUACAGUGAAAGACGGUCUUGCUGUCACUUAUAGGUGGACCCGCGCCGUAUUAGCUAGUUGGUAAGGUAACGGCUUACCAAGGCAACGAUACGUAGCCGACCUGAGAGGGUGAUCGGCCACACUGGAACUGAGACACGGUCCAGACUCCUACGGGAGGCAGCAGUAGGGAAUCUUCCGCAAUGGGCGAAAGCCUGACGGAGCAACGCCGCGUGAGUGAUGAAGGCC
RNAcentral lists this ribosomal RNA (421 nucleotides) under uncultured microorganism. Its description in RNAcentral is "bacterial SSU rRNA". It matches the Rfam family "Bacterial small subunit ribosomal RNA", at positions 9 to 416 of the family's 1533-position model. The record is from RNAcentral.